RNAcentral lists this ribosomal RNA (862 nucleotides) under Salmonella enterica. RNAcentral describes it as "partial 23S ribosomal RNA". It matches the Rfam family "Bacterial large subunit ribosomal RNA", at positions 1 to 757 of the family's 2925-position model. The record is from RNAcentral. Lineage: Bacteria; Pseudomonadati; Pseudomonadota; Gammaproteobacteria; Enterobacterales; Enterobacteriaceae.
GGGUUGUGAGGUUAAGCGACUAAGCGUACACGGUGGAUGCCCUGGCAGUCAGAGGCGAUGAAGGGCGUGCUAAUCUGCGAUAAGCGCCGGUAAGGUGAUAUGAACCGUUAUAACCGGCGAUACCCGAAUGGGGAAACCCAGUGUGACUCGUCACACUAUCAUUAACUGAAUCCAUAGGUUAAUGAGGCGAACCGGGGGAACUGAAACAUCUAAGUACCCCGAGGAAAAGAAAUCAACCGAGAUUCCCCCAGUAGCGGCGAGCGAACGGGGAGGAGCCCAGAGCCUGAAUCAGCAUGUGUGUUAGUGGAAGCGUCUGGAAAGGCGCGCGAUACAGGGUGACAGCCCCGUACACAAAAGCGCAUGUGCUGUGAGCUCGAUGAGUAGGGCGGGACACGUGGUAUCCUGUCUGAAUAUGGGGGGACCAUCCUCCAAGGCUAAAUACUCCUGACUGACCGAUAGUGAACCAGUACCGUGAGGGAAAGGCGAAAAGAACCCCGGCGAGGGGAGUGAAAAAGAACCUGAAACCGUGUACGUACAAGCAGUGGGAGCCCCACCACCAAAGCAUUUGCUGUACCGCGUUGACGGAGCGAAGCGACGUCAAACCGAUAAAACAGCAGUGUAAAGUGAGCCGCAGGGCGCUUUGCGCGACAGCGCAAAGGCAGGCGGUUUCGCGUAGCGAAAGCGAAUGCUUUGGGGUGGGGUGACUGCGUACCUUUUGUAUAAUGGGUCAGCGACUUAUAUUCUGUAGCAAGGUUAACCGAAUAGGGGAGCCGGAGGGAAACCGAGUCUUAAUUGGGCGUUAAGUUGCAGGGUAUAGACCCGAAACCCGGUGAUCUAGCCAUGGGCAGGUUGAAGGUUGGGU